Molecule: ribosomal RNA, 425 nt
Filed under: uncultured bacterium
Lineage: Bacteria
Description: bacterial SSU rRNA
Rfam family: Bacterial small subunit ribosomal RNA
Source: RNAcentral
GUUAGGAAUAUUGGACAAUGGGCGCAAGCCUGAUCCAGCCAUGCCGCGUGAGUGAUGAAGGCCUUCGGGUUGUAAAGCUCUUUAGCCGAUGAUUAUAAUGACUGUAGUCGGAAAAUAAGCCCCGGCUAACUUCGUGCCAGCAGCCGCGGUAAUACGAAGGGGGCGAGCGUUAUUCGGAAUCACUGGGCGUAAAGCGUGCGUAGGCGGCUUUGCAAGUUGGGAGUGAAAGCCCAGGGCUCAACCCUGGAAUUGCUCUCAAAACUGCAAGGCUCGAAUUCGGGAGAGGAUAGCGGAAUUGUCAGUGUAGCAGUGAAAUGCGUAGAUAUUGACAGGAACACCAGUGGCGUAAGCGGCUAUCUGGACCGAUAUUGACGCUGAGGCACGAAAGCGUGGGGAUCAAACAGGAUUAGAAACCCCGGUAGUCC